AUGCACGCUGGCGGCGUGCCUAAUACCUGCCAGUCGAGCGAACGGACGAGAAGCUUGCUUCUCUGAUGUUAGCGGCGGACGGGUGAGUAACACGUGGAUAACCUACCUAUAAGACUGGGAUAAUUUCGGGAAACCGGAGCUAAUACCGGAUAAUAUUUUGAACCGCAUGGUUCAAAAGUGAAAGACGGUCUUGCUGUCACUUAUAGAUGGAUCCGCGCUGCAUUAGCUAGUUGGUAAGGUAACGGCUUACCAAGGCAACGAUGCAUAGCCGACCUGAGAGGGUGAUCGGCCACACUGGAACUGAGACACGGUCCAGACUCCUACGGGAGGCAGCAGUAGGGAAUCUUCCGCAAUGGGCGAAAGCCUGACGGAGCAACGCCGCGUGAGUGAUGAAGGUCUUCGGAUCGUAAAACUCUGUUAUUAGGGAAGAACAUAUGUGUAAGUAACUGUGCACAUCUUGACGGUACCUAAUCAGAAAGCCACGGCUAACUACGUG
Molecule: ribosomal RNA, 496 nt
Filed under: uncultured bacterium
Lineage: Bacteria
Description: partial 16S ribosomal RNA
Rfam family: Bacterial small subunit ribosomal RNA
Source: RNAcentral